Molecule: ribosomal RNA, 506 nt
Filed under: uncultured bacterium
Lineage: Bacteria
Description: partial 16S ribosomal RNA
Source: RNAcentral
GGAGUUAGCCGGUGCUUCUUCUGUGAGUGAUGUCCUUCCUGCCGGUUAUUGACCCGCAGGCCUUCUUCCUCACUGAAAGUGCUUUACAACCCGAAGGCCUUCUUCACACACGCGGCAUGGCUGGAUCAGGGUUGCCCCCAUUGUCCAAUAUUCCCCACUGCUGCCUCCCGUAGGAGUCUGGGCCGUGUCUCAGUCCCAGUGUGGCUGAUCAUCCUCUCAGACCAGCUACGGAUCGUCGCCUUGGUGGGCCGUUACCUCACCAACCAGCUAAUCCGACAUAGGCUCAUCCGAUAGCGCGAGGCCCGAAGGUCCCCCGCUUUCCCCCGUAGGGCGUAUGCGGUAUUAGCCUGGGUUUCCCCAGGUUAUCCCCCACUACCGGGCAGAUUCCUAUGCAUUACUCACCCGUCCGCCGCUCGCCACCAGGGAGCAAGCUCCCCGUGCUGCCGCUCGACUUGCAUGUGUUAGGCCUGCCGCCAGCGUUCAAUCUGAGCAGANACAACUACUGA